GCCAGCACCAUACCACCCUGCAUCCCACUGCUGGCUUGCCUCUGAAGCUAAGCAGGGUUGGUCCUGGAUGGGAGACCAGAUGCUGCUGAAAGUGGAGUUGCUGUGC
This 106-nucleotide ribosomal RNA is filed under the name Hucho hucho (huchen). Lineage: Eukaryota; Metazoa; Chordata; Actinopteri; Salmoniformes; Salmonidae. The record is from RNAcentral.